RNAcentral lists this ribosomal RNA (479 nucleotides) under uncultured bacterium. RNAcentral's name for it is "bacterial SSU rRNA". It matches the Rfam family "Bacterial small subunit ribosomal RNA", at positions 15 to 518 of the family's 1533-position model. The record is from RNAcentral.
GAUCCUGGCUUAGGAUGAACGCUGGCGGCGUGCCUAAUACAUGCAAGUCGAACGGCAGUAGCAAUACUGUAGUGGCGAACGGGUGAGUAACACGUUGGUGACCUGCCCCAAAGAUGGGAAUAUCACCUGGAAACGGGUGGCAAAACCGAAUAAGCUUUUCCGAGUUAGAGAAGGAAAAGUAAAAGUGCAAACUACUUUGGGAGGGGCCUGCGGCCCAUCAGUUAGUUGGUGAGGGUAACGGCCCACCAAGACGAAGACGGGUAGGGGACCUGAGAGGGUGGUCCCCCACAAUGGAACUGAAACACGGUCCAUACACCUGCGGGUGGCAGCAGUAGGGAAUAUUGCUUAAUGGGCGAAAGCCUGAUGCAAGCGACGCCGCGUGAGUGAAGAAGUAUUUCGGUAUGUAAAGCUCUAUCAGCAGGAAAGAAAAUGACGGUACCUGACUAAGAAGCCCCGGCUAACUACGUGCCAGCCGCAGC